RNAcentral lists this ribosomal RNA (410 nucleotides) under uncultured bacterium. Its description in RNAcentral is "bacterial SSU rRNA". It matches the Rfam family "Bacterial small subunit ribosomal RNA", at positions 370 to 772 of the family's 1533-position model. The record is from RNAcentral.
AAUGGGCGCAAGCCUGAUCCAGCCAUGCCGCGUGCGGGAAGAAGGCCUUCGGGUUGUAAACCGCUUUUGUCAGGGAAGAAAAGCUCUGGGCUAAUACCCCGGGGUCAUGACGGUACCUGAAGAAUAAGCACCGGCUAACUACGUGCCAGCAGCCGCGGUAAUACGUAGGGUGCAAGCGUUAAUCGGAAUUACUGGGCGUAAAGCGUGCGCAGGCGGUGAUGCAAGACAGAUGUGAAAUCCCCGGGCUCAACCUGGGAACUGCAUUUGUGACUGCAUCGCUGGAGUGCGGCAGAGGGGGAUGGAAUUCCGCGUGUAGCAGUGAAAUGCGUAGAUAUGCGGAGGAACACCGAUGGCGAAGGCAAUCCCCUGGGCCUGCACUGACGCUCAUGCACGAAAGCGUGGGGAGCAAA